GAUGAACGCUGGCGGCGUGCCUAAUACAUGCAAGUCGAACGCACGGGCGAGAAGCUUGCUCUUCUGAUGUGAGCGGCGGACGGGUGAGUAACGCGUGGAUAACCUACCUAUUAGCCGGGGAUAACUAUGGGAAACGGGAGCUAAUACCGGAUGACAUUUUGUACCGCAUGGUUUAUAUGUGAAAGACGGUCUUGCUGCACUACAUGGUGGGCUUCCGGUUUCUUUGCCUGGUUGGGAAGUUAACGGUCUACUAAGGGAAGAUUGAUUGGCCGACUGGGGAGGGGGGUCGCCAACACGGGAACUGAGACAGGGUCCAGACUCCUACGGAGGGCACCAGAGGGGAAUCUUGGGCAAUGGGGGAAAGCCUGACGGAGCAACGCGGCGGGAGGAAGGAGGGUCUUGGGUUCGUAAAACUCGGUUAUUGGGGAAGAACAGAUGUGGAAGGGAAAGUGCACAUCGUGACGGUACCUAAUCAGAAAGCCACGGCUAACUACGUG
This 497-nucleotide ribosomal RNA is filed under the name uncultured bacterium. RNAcentral describes it as "partial 16S ribosomal RNA". It matches the Rfam family "Bacterial small subunit ribosomal RNA", at positions 28 to 507 of the family's 1533-position model. The record is from RNAcentral.